CAGGAAGUUCCACCAUCACGUACAGACGUGCAGCAGAGAGAAGCAUCAUUUCAUCCAGCAGAGACAGAAUGACGCCACGACUGCAGCUCUUCAUCACUUUACUGCUUCACUUUGAAGCAGGAAUCAGUGGAUGGAUCCAUCUCUAUCACAGAGCUGGAGAUGACGUCGUUUUACCGUCUGACGUUGAUUUUUCACAUUACCAAUGUUCUGGUGUUGACUGGUCUCAUUGGUACGAUCGAUAUGGAAAUUACAUCGUUCGUAAUGGAACUAUUAAGAAGACGUCACAUGGAGCUGACAGGAUGAGUUUGAGCAGUAACUGCUUUCUGAUCAUCAACAACAUCACUGCUGAAGAUGCUGGUUAUUACACCUGUGGGGUUAGAAAUUUUGGUUCCACAUCUGUGUUUCUGAAUGUUUUAACAGUCUCUCCAUCUCCACCAGAUGUGGAUCCAGGAAGGGAUGGAGAUGUGACAUUAC
Cololabis saira (Pacific saury) is the source of this 474-nucleotide long non-coding RNA. RefSeq lists it as uncharacterized. The transcript is spliced from 3 exons. The record is from RefSeq and is a predicted model, not a curated record. Lineage: Eukaryota; Metazoa; Chordata; Actinopteri; Beloniformes; Belonidae.